This 508-nucleotide ribosomal RNA is filed under the name uncultured bacterium. RNAcentral describes it as "partial 16S ribosomal RNA". It matches the Rfam family "Bacterial small subunit ribosomal RNA", at positions 28 to 507 of the family's 1533-position model. The record is from RNAcentral.
GACGAACGCUGGCGGCGUGCUUAACACAUGCAAGUCGAACGGGCCUUGUCCCCUUUUUUUUUGGGGGUGGGGUUAGUGGCGAACGGGUGAGUAACACGUGAGUAACCUGCCCCUCACUUCUGGAUAACCGCUUGAAAGGGUGGCUAAUACGGGGUGUUCUGGCCUGCUCGCAUGGGUGGGUUUGGAAAGAUUCGACCGGUUUUGGUUGUUUUGGUGGGGGAUGGGCUCGCGGCCUAUCAGCUUGUUGGUGGGGUGAUGGCCUGCCAAGGCUUUGACGGGUAGCCGGCCUGCGAGGGUGGGCGGUCACACUGGGACUGAGACACGGCCCAGACUCCUACGGGAGGCAGCAGUGGGGAAUAUUGCACAAUGGGCGCAAGCCUGAUGCAGCGACGCCGCGUGAGGGAUGGAGGCCUUCGGGUUGUGAACCUCUUUCGCCAGUGAAGAAGGUCCUGCUCUUUGUGGUGGGGUUGACGGUAGCUGGGUUAAUGAAGCGCCGGCUAACUACGUG